Molecule: long non-coding RNA, 664 nt
Filed under: Olea europaea (common olive)
Lineage: Eukaryota; Viridiplantae; Streptophyta; Magnoliopsida; Lamiales; Oleaceae
Description: long non-coding RNA (OEUR_LNC002158)
Source: RNAcentral
ACACAUUUAUCAUCACAAGCACGUUGUUAUUUGGCCAAAUUGUAUCUUCCUUUGGGCCGAGCACAAUUCGCAUAAAUAACUCCGUACAAAACAUCUAUGUAUUUUCAAUUAAAUCAAUCUACACAAUAGGGGUUACUUUGGCAACAUGUUGCUUUAAUCAAUUAAAUUGAAUAUACUAUACAUCCAAAGGGAACAAUCAAAACCAAAGUUUUGAAUUUAUUUUAAAACUUAAAAUUGGAAAAAAUGAAUUCUGAAAUAUGAAUGGGUUGAACAAAAUGAAUCAAUUUCCAAUUUUAUGUCUACCACAAUCUGUUUCUAAUUCCUUAUAUAUAUAUAUAUAUUUUAUUUUUUUUUAUUUUAAACCAAAAGGCACAUGUCUUGGACCCAUUAUGAAACAAAAGUCAACAAUUGCAACUGAAUCAUAUAAUGCAAUUGAAAUUGAUCCAUUGUGAAAGGUUACGUGUAUUACCAAUCUAUACUAAAUAUGCCAAAUAGUAUUCUGUCAUACACCAAUCUAUAUUGACUCCAUUAUGAGACAUAAAACAAGGGUCAAAAAAUGCGGCUAAUCCAUGCAGUUGAAAUUCUGAUUUCUGGAUCCAUAAUGAAGGUCACAGAUUUUGACAGUGAUCUACACGCUACCAAAAGUGAUGUAUCCAUUAUAAAC